Molecule: ribosomal RNA, 332 nt
Filed under: Boletus bicolor
Lineage: Eukaryota; Fungi; Basidiomycota; Agaricomycetes; Boletales; Boletaceae
Description: eukaryotic LSU rRNA
Rfam family: Eukaryotic large subunit ribosomal RNA (bases 202-332)
Source: RNAcentral
GUUGGGGGUUUGCUGGCGGCGAAAAGCUGUCAGCUCUCCUGAAAUGCAUUAGCAAAGGGNGGCAAGUCUUUGACAUGCACGGCCUUCGACGUGAUAAUGAUCGUCGUGGCUGGAGUGUCACAGGACAUGCAUGAAUCGUCCGUGCUUCUAAUCCUACCUAGCCACGAGUCGAGAGGCGGCUGGCUUGUGUUUUUGGAAACUUGACCUCAAAUCAGGUAGGACUACCCGCUGAACUUAAGCAUAUCAAUAAGCGGAGGAAAAGAAACUAACAAGGAUUCCCCUAGUAACUGCGAGUGAAGCGGGAAGAGCUCAAAUUUUGAAUCUGGCGGUCU